This 76-nucleotide transfer RNA is filed under the name Kocuria rhizophila. Its description in RNAcentral is "tRNA-Arg". It matches the Rfam family "tRNA". From Rfam's summary of the family: Transfer RNA (tRNA) molecules are approximately 80 nucleotides in length. Their secondary structure includes four short double-helical elements and three loops (D, anti-codon, and T loops). Further hydrogen bonds mediate the characteristic L-shaped molecular structure. tRNAs have two regions of fundamental functional importance: the anti-codon, which is responsible for specific mRNA codon recognition, and the 3' end, to which the tRNAs corresponding amino acid is attached (by aminoacyl-tRNA synthetases). tRNAs cope with the degeneracy of the genetic code in two manners: having more than one tRNA (with a specific anti-codon) for a particular amino acid; and 'wobble' base-pairing, i.e. permitting non-standard base-pairing at the 3rd anti-codon position. RNAcentral also lists the same sequence under 3 other names. Lineage: Bacteria; Bacillati; Actinomycetota; Actinomycetes; Micrococcales; Micrococcaceae. The record is from RNAcentral.
GCCCGCGUAGCUCAGUGGAUAGAGCGUCUGCCUCCGGAGCAGAAGGUCGUAGGUUCGAAUCCUGUCGCGGGCACCC